GAACGCUGGCGGCAGGCUUAACACAUGUAAGUCGAGCGGGGACUUCGGUCCUAGCGGCGAACGGGUGAGGAAUGCUUGGGAAUCUGCCCAGUAGCGAGGGAUAACGUUUCGAAAGGAGCGCUAAUACCGCAUACGCCCUACAGGGGAAAGGGGGGGAUCUUCGGACCUCUCACUAUUGGAUGAGCCCAAGUCGGGUUAGCUAGUUGGUGGGGUAAAGGCCUACCAAGGCGACGAUCCGUAGCUGGUCUGAGAGGAUGAUCAGCCACACUGGAACUGGGACACGGUCCAGACUCCUACGGGAGGCAGCAGUGGGGAAUAUUGGACAAUGGGCGAAAGCCCGAUCCAGCCAUGCCGCGUGUGUGAAGAAGGCCUUCGGGUUGUAAAGCACUUUAAGCGAGGGGGAAUGGCUCUGGGUUAAUACCCUUGAGCAGUGACGUUACUCGCAAAAUAAGCACCGGCUAACUCUGUGCCAGCAGCCGCGGUAAUACAGAGGGUGCAAGCGUUAAUCGGAACUACUGGGCGUAAAGCGCGCGUAGGCGGUUGCGUAAGUUGGAUGUGAAAUCCCCGGGCUCAACCCGGGAAUUGCAUUCAAAACUGCGCGGCUAGAGUGUGGGAGAGGAAGGUAGAAAUCCAGGUGUAGCGGUGAAAUGCGUAGAUAUCUGGAGGAAUACCGAUGGCGAAGGCAGCCCUCUGGCCUAACACUGACGCUGAGGUGCGAAAGCAUGGGGAGCAAACAGGAUUAGAUACCUUGGUAGUCCAUGCCGUAAACGAUGUCUACUA
Molecule: ribosomal RNA, 780 nt
Filed under: uncultured bacterium
Lineage: Bacteria
Description: bacterial SSU rRNA
Rfam family: Bacterial small subunit ribosomal RNA
Source: RNAcentral